Molecule: ribosomal RNA, 427 nt
Filed under: uncultured bacterium
Lineage: Bacteria
Description: partial 16S ribosomal RNA
Rfam family: Bacterial small subunit ribosomal RNA
Source: RNAcentral
UGGGGAAUAUUGCACAAUGGGCGCAAGCCUGAUGCAGCCAUGCCGCGUGUGUGAAGAAGGCCUUCGGGUUGUAAAGCACUUUCAGCGAGGAGGAAGGCAUAAAGGUUAAUAACCUUUGUGAUUGACGUUACUCGCAGAAGAAGCACCGGCUAACUCCGUGCCAGCAGCCGCGGUAAUACGGAGGGUGCAAGCGUUAAUGGGAAUUACUGGGCGUAAAGCGCACGCAGGCGGUUUGUUAAGUCAGAUGUGAAAUCCCCGCGCUUAACGUGGGAACUGCAUUUGAAACUGGCAAGCUAGAGUCUUGUAGAGGGGGGUAGAAUUCCAGGUGUAGCGGUGAAAUGCGUAGAGAUCUGGAGGAAUACCGGUGGCGAAGGCGGCCCCCUGGACAAAGACUGACGCUCAGGUGCGAAAGCGUGGGGAGCAAACA